GUCUACACAAAUAAAAUUGUAUACAUAUAGCUAUAAGUAUGCGAGGGUGAAAUGUAAUGUGAUUUGUCUUAUACUGUUUAAAAUGUUAAUAUAUUAAAUGUAUGAAUAAAAAUAAAAUUAUUCUUUUAACAGUGAUGUGUAAUUAUACUUUUAACUACAGGCUUGUCUAGUUCAUUCAUUUACCCAUCGGUUUUCAUGAUGAUAUGUUCUUUACAUUAUAAAUGUAUAAGUAUUUACUAGAGAAGCUUAUAUUUAUAGAUGUGAUAACCUUAUAUUUAUGAUAACCUUAUUUGUAAAAGGUUUAAAAAAAAAAAACCAAAUAAAAUAUAGGGAGGGUUUUGUGCCAUGCAAAUAUGUGGGGUACGGCCUCCUGAGUAUGGUAAGCCCCGCCUCCGUAGUUCAAAAGGCCGGAUUCUCAUUUGGACCCUUACAGCAGUAACUGAUUUUCGCGAGGACAUCUCUUUUCUCUCGGUUAUUUUAAAGCGGCCUUGUUUUAUUUUUCAAACAAUGGACUCAGGACUCACCGGUAAGUAAUUUUGCUUUAUAUGUUUAUUUAUCAAGUUUGAUAUACCAAGUUAUCUUCAUUUGUAAAAACAGUCUUAUUUUAUUUUAACAUUUAACAGGCUUUUAAAUGUAUAUGUAUACGAUGCAGGAAUUUUUAAAAAGCAGCCCACAUACCAUCAUUUUGACCAGAUCGACCAACUUUUGAAUUCUACUUUGAUAAAUGUUGAAGAGCAAAGCGACACUAGGAACAGCGAUCUACAAGUAAAUGCCCCCGCAAUAAAUGAGGGUUCUCAAGGCGUUAAUGAGGGCUGCGAACUGCAAGAUGCAGCAUUACUAGUUACACAGCCAGGGUUUGUAACACAGAAUACCUCUACAAAAUCUUCAAGACUUAGUCUUAGUUGGAAACGAAAGCAGUCCCGUUCUAUUACCCAUGAUAAAAGGGCAUGCCCUGACAAUGCACUAGUCUCUGAUGUGCAACCUCGGGAUACCACCACAGAUUUCAUUAAAACAGUUGAUUUCUAUACAGAAAACCUGUUAGGAGCUGGUGAUGUCACAAAUUCAUGGUCUGCAGCGUUGGCAAGUGUCUCAGAAGCUAACGGUGAUGCGAUAGUGCCGGUAGCUACUACCGUACUGACAUCUUCUUUGGACUCGCAGACAUCUGCGGCGGUUAAUCUGCCACGUGUGGUUGGAGCCCGUGGCGAGGAUGAAUCUUCUAUGAUUUUUGAAACAUCUCUACCUGCAAAUCAGGAACAUUUCAAUAAUGAGUUAUUGCUGGAAUUGAUAGCGCAAGUGAGAAGACUGACUGAAGACGUCGCAUCCAUAAAUUC
Paramisgurnus dabryanus is the source of this 1331-nucleotide non-coding RNA. The record is from RefSeq and is a predicted model, not a curated record. NCBI's taxonomy places the organism in Eukaryota, Metazoa, Chordata, Actinopteri, Cypriniformes, Cobitidae.